UUACUUAGUGGAUAAUUACUGUGAUAGCAAGUUAUGACGGUGGCUACAACUUGAAAGUGGUGAUGCUUAUGGUCUUACUGUAAGUUAUUCAUAUCCUAAGAGAGGAGUAGUAUUUUUGUCUAUUUCAGAUGAUUUGAAUUUAAUGCUAACAUUCGGAAUUUUUUUAAUUUCCCUGUUAACAUAU
RNAcentral lists this small RNA (184 nucleotides) under Companilactobacillus tucceti DSM 20183. Its description in RNAcentral is "Lactobacillus tucceti DSM 20183 Listeria sRNA rli28". It matches the Rfam family "Listeria sRNA rli28". The record is from Rfam by way of RNAcentral. Lineage: Bacteria; Bacillati; Bacillota; Bacilli; Lactobacillales; Lactobacillaceae.